UCACUCAUGUGGGAACUAAACAAUCUGGUUUUAUGGAGGCAGUGAAUAGAAUGGUGGCUACCACAAGCUGGGAAGGAUGGCAGGGAGAAAGGAUGAAGAGGGAUUGGUUAAUGGAUACAAAAAUACAGUUAGGAUAGGGUGACUAUAAUUAAUAACUUACUGUAUAUUUCAAAAUAGCUAGAAAAUUCAGAAUGUGCCCAACACAAAGAAAUCAUAAAUAUUUGAGAUGAUGGAUAUUCCAGUUCCCCAGAUUUGAUCAUUAUACAUUUUAUGUUUGUAUCAAAAUGUCACAGGGAAAAUCCCAUAAAGAGGGGUUUGACCAAGAGACAAGCUGGCCUCAGAGAAUAGAUGCUGCUCAGCACCCACUGUAAGAUUUUCCUAAAAUGGCCCCGGUCACAGGAUGGUGUCCAUCCAAAACACAGCGCUGAGUCAUUCCUUCCUCCUGUAUUUGUUAUACUCCUCCUCGAGAGCGUUCGGCAGCCCCUCAUUGCCUCCAGAAUAAAAUCCAAACUCUUUGGAAAGGCACAGCCGGACCCCUGUGAUCCAGCGCUCACAUCCCCUCUCUGGUUUUAUCUAUUUUCCUUCAUGCUUCCUAUAUACCAGUCCCAGGGCUACUCACCACAUUCCCCAAAUGUGCCAUGUACUCUCUUACCUCCAACCUUCCAACUAGGGAGUUCCUUCAUUCUGAGUGCCCUCUCCUUUGCCAUCAUCCCUGCCCACCUGAGGCCCACAUAACCAGCACUCGAUACAUUGUUUUUUUUUUUUUUGAGACAGGGAAAGAAUAUUUAUUGAAUGGUCAUUUUGAGCCAGGCACUAUUCUAUAUUAGCUCAUUUAACCUUCAAGGUAAAUCUGUAAGUACUGCUAUUAUGCUCAUGUUACAAAUUAAGAAACUAAAGUCGGAGGAAGGGGUGGCAGGGGAGAGAGAGAGACAGAGAAAGAAAGAGGGUGCAGUGGCUCCUGCCUGUAAUCCCAGCACUUUGGGAGCCCGAGGCAGGCCAAAUGCUUGAGCCCAGGAGUCCAAGACUAGUCUGGGCAACAUGGCAAGACCUCGUCUCUGUGAAAAAUACAAAAAUUAGCCAGGUAAGGUGGCAUGCGCCUGUAGUCCUAGCUACUCCAGAGGCUGAGGUGGGAGGAUUGUUUGAGUCCGGGAGGCGGAGGCUGCAGUGCUGUGAUUGUGCCACUGCACUCCUGGGCCACAGAGUGAGACCUAGUCUCUAAAAAAAAAAAAAAAAAAAAAAAAAAAAA
RNAcentral lists this long non-coding RNA (1246 nucleotides) under Macaca fascicularis (crab-eating macaque). RNAcentral's name for it is "lncRNA (ENSMFAG00000060558.1)". The record is from RNAcentral. Lineage: Eukaryota; Metazoa; Chordata; Mammalia; Primates; Cercopithecidae.